ACCCGCACAAGCGGUGGAUGAUGUGGAUUAAUUCGAUGCAUCGCGAAAAACCUUACCUACCCUUGACAUGUCCGAGAGCUCGAAGAGAUUCGAGUGUGCUCGAAAGAGAAUCGGAACACAGGUGCUGCAUGGCUGUCGUCAGCUCGUGUCGUGAGAUGUUGGGUUAAGUCCCGCAACGAGCGCAACCCUUGUCAUUAGUUGCUACGAAAGGGCACUCUAAUGAGACUGCCGGUGACAAACCGGAGGAAGGUGGGGAUGACGUCAAGUCCUCAUGGCCCUUAUGGGUAGGGCUUCACACGUCAUACAAUGGUCGGGACAGAGGGUCGCCAACCCGCGAGGGGGAGCCAAUCCCAGAAACCCGAUCGUAGUCCGGAUCGCAGUCUGCAACUCGACUGCGUGAAGUCGGAAUCGCUAGUAAUCGCGGAUCAGCAUGUCGCGGUGAAUACGUUCCCGGGUCUUGUACACACCGCCCGUCACACCAUGGGAG
This 487-nucleotide ribosomal RNA is filed under the name bacterium endosymbiont of Onthophagus Taurus. RNAcentral describes it as "bacterial SSU rRNA". It matches the Rfam family "Bacterial small subunit ribosomal RNA", at positions 919 to 1410 of the family's 1533-position model. The record is from RNAcentral.